This 347-nucleotide unclassified non-coding RNA is filed under the name Hevea brasiliensis (rubber tree). The record is from RNAcentral. Lineage: Eukaryota; Viridiplantae; Streptophyta; Magnoliopsida; Malpighiales; Euphorbiaceae.
GGAAGAGCAAGAUAGACAAACAGAUGAUUUAAGGAAUGCUCUGAACUCCCAAAUGGGUGAAAUAGAAUUGCGCAUUCUUGUCGAGGAUUGCUUGAAUCACUAUUUUGAUCUCUUUCGCUUGAAAGCUACAGCCGCAAAUGCCGAUGUUCUCUACCUUAUGUCUGGCACAUGGAAGACAUCAGCUGAGCGCUUCUUCUUGUGGAUUGGGGGGUUUCGCCCCUCCGAACUUCUAAAGGUUCUCACGCCACAUGUGGAACCAUUGUCAGAUCAACAAAUCCAGGAGGUUAGCAACCUCACCCAGUCUUGUCAGCAGGCAGAAGAUGCGUUGUCCCAAGGAAUGGUAAAAC